RNAcentral lists this long non-coding RNA (1270 nucleotides) under Homo sapiens (human). Its description in RNAcentral is "HSALNT0405481". The record is from RNAcentral. Lineage: Eukaryota; Metazoa; Chordata; Mammalia; Primates; Hominidae.
AGGAAAGAUUCCUUCCCUGAAGCUGUUCUCAAUGUCAAGGUGGGUGAAAAUAUCUUCAAACACCCAAACAAUUCUAGUGUCACCUAGAUGCAGGAAGCCUGAGAGUCCUCCUAGGAUUCAGUGUCCAUUCUUGAGUGUGAGAGGCUGCACCUGGGCCACCACACCCAGCCUAGGCACCCAGGUCCCUCUGUCCCUUCAGCACCCAGGGACGGUCCCCAGCCUGGCUCCAGCUUAGAGGGGUGGCUCCAGGGAGGCUGGUGUCCUUUCAGCUGGACAUAAACGCUGUGUCUAAAAACAAACGACUUCUAGGGCAGAGGGCAGGGAAGUGGUUCCAGCAGGGUGUUUGGGCAGCACGCCGGCCAUUCAAUCAGACCCACGGGGCUGUGAGGGGAGCGGCAGAGAAUCAAUCAUGGGCCGUGUGUGUUUGCAAAAGGACGUGUGUGGCAGUGACAGCAGCGGGAGCCCCGGGGGAGGCCCCCCGGGGACACGUGUCCACCACCUGGGCUCCCGUGCCCGCUGAGCUCUGGGAGGCAGUGGCUGCUAAAAUACAGAUUCCUAGGCCCCAGACCAUCAUCCUGAAGCCAAAUUGCCAGAGUCAGGCCCAGGACUCUAGAGUUUCUUUGAGGGUCUCCCAGACACUUCUGGUGAGCAGCCAGGCUUGGAAACUCCUGUGCAGCCCACCCAGCCCCAGGAGAAAAAGGAGAGAGAUUUGGAUACAGUGACACAGACUCUCAAGGAGAAGGCCCUAUGACCACAGAGACAGAGACUGGAGUGACGCAUCUAGAAGCCAAGGACCACCAAGGAUCGCAGAAACCAUGAGAAGCUGAAAUAGACAGGCAAGGAUUCUCCCCUAGAAACUUCAGAGAGAGCAUAGCCCUGUGGACAUCUUGAUUUUGGACUUCGAGCCUCCAGAACCAUGAGCGAAUAAAUUUCUGUUGUCUUACACCCUUCCAUGUGUGGUAUUUUAUUAUAGCAACCCUAAGAAACCAAUACACCCUCCUACCAUCCUGUUGUUCUAUCCUCUGGUCCAGAGCAGGAGCAAAGGGCAAGUUUCCCUGUGCCCCUUGUAAUUGACCUUUUCAUGCCGUUUCGUCCCCAGGGUCACACGCAUAAGCACGUUACUGAGAAGAUUUAUCCCAAAGCACGUACGGGGCUCCGGCCCGUGCAAACACUUGCCUGCUGGUUUACAGUGAUUUACUCACAGAUUACCCUCUGACGAAGGGGGCCCCAGCCUACGCGCCUCUCUCGUAUAUCAAAAAGGAAAUCCUGA